Molecule: ribosomal RNA, 852 nt
Filed under: Nocardia carnea
Lineage: Bacteria; Bacillati; Actinomycetota; Actinomycetes; Mycobacteriales; Nocardiaceae
Description: bacterial SSU rRNA
Source: RNAcentral
AGCGACGCCGCGUGAGGGAUGACGGCCUUCGGGUUGUAAACCUCUUUCGACUCCGACRAAGCGAAAGUGACGGUAGGAGUAUAAGAAGCACCGGCCAACUACGUGCCAGCAGCCGCGGUAAUACGUAGGGUGCGAGCGUUGUCCGGAAUUACUGGGCGUAAAGAGCUUGUAGGCGGCUUGUCGCGUCGAUCGUGAAAACUCGGGGCUCAACCCCGAGCUUGCGGUCGAUACGGGCAGGCUUGAGUACUUCAGGGGAGACUGGAAUUCCUGGUGUAGCGGUGAAAUGCGCAGAUAUCAGGAGGAACACCGGUGGCGAAGGCGGGUCUCUGGGAAGUAACUGACGCUGAGAAGCGAAAGCGUGGGUAGCGAACAGGAUUAGAUACCCUGGUAGUCCACGCCGUAAACGGUGGGUACUAGGUGUGGGUUUCCUUCCACGGGAUCCGUGCCGUAGCUAACGCAUUAAGUACCCCGCCUGGGGAGUACGGCCGCAAGGCUAAAACUCAAAGGAAUUGACGGGGGCCCGCACAAGCGGCGGAGCAUGUGGAUUAAUUCGAUGCAACGCGAAGAACCUUACCUGGGUUUGACAUACACCGGAAACCUGCAGAGAUGUAGGCCCCCUUGUGGUCGGUGUACAGGUGGUGCAUGGCUGUCGUCAGCUCGUGUCGUGAGAUGUUGGGUUAAGUCCCGCAACGAGCGCAACCCUUAUCUUAUGUUGCCAGCGCGUAAUGGCGGGGACUCGUGAGAGACUGCCGGGGUCAACUCGGAGGAAGGUGGGGACGACGUCAAGUCAUCAUGCCCCUUAUGUCCAGGGCUUCACACAUGCUACAAUGGCCGGUACAGAGGGCUGCGAUA